CGCGAAGAACCUUACCAAGGCUUGACAUAUACAGGAAAAGCGUAGGAAUACGCUCCCCGCAAGGUCUGGUAUACAGGUGGUGCAUGGUUGUCGUCAGCUCGUGUCGUGAGAUGUUGGGUUAAGUCCCGCAACGAGCGCAACCCUCGUCCUAUGUUGCCAGCACGUAAUGGUGGGAACUCAUGGGAGACUGCCGGGGUCAACUCGGAGGAAGGUGGGGAUGACGUCAAAUCAUCAUGCCCCUUAUGUCUUGGGCUUCACGCAUGCUACAAUGGCCAGUACAAAGGGCUGCGAUACCGCAAGGUGGAGCGAAUCCCAUAAAGCUGGUCUCAGUUCGGAUUGAGGUCUGCAACUCGACCUCAUGAAGUCGGAGUCGCUAGUAAUCGUAGAUCAGCAACGCUACGGUGAAUACGUUCCCGGGCCUUGUACACACCGCCCGUCAAGUCACGAAAGUC
Molecule: ribosomal RNA, 452 nt
Filed under: uncultured Actinomycetes bacterium
Lineage: Bacteria; Bacillati; Actinomycetota; Actinomycetes
Description: bacterial SSU rRNA
Rfam family: Bacterial small subunit ribosomal RNA
Source: RNAcentral